GCCACCGAAUACAUUAGCAUGGGAUAAUGGAAUAGGACCCUGUCCUCCUAUUUUCAGUUGGUUUUGGCAGCGCGAGGACUAGGGUAAUGAUUAAUAGGGAUAGUUGGGGGCAUUAAUAUUUAAUUGUCAGAGGUGAAAUUCUUGGAUUUAUGAAAGAUUAACUUCUGCGAAAGCAUCUGCCAAGGAUGUUUUCAUUAAUCAAGAACGAAAGUUAGGGGAUCGAAGACGAUCAGAUACCGUCGUAGUCUUAACCAUAAACGAUGCCGACCAGCGAUUAGGAGACGUUGAAUACAAAACACCACCAUCGGCGCGGUCGUCCUUGGCGUUCGUGUUCACGCACGG
RNAcentral lists this ribosomal RNA (342 nucleotides) under Acanthamoeba sp. MS-2012. Its description in RNAcentral is "SSU rRNA". It matches the Rfam family "Eukaryotic small subunit ribosomal RNA", at positions 791 to 1114 of the family's 1831-position model. Lineage: Eukaryota; Discosea; Longamoebia; Acanthamoebidae. The record is from RNAcentral.